Molecule: ribosomal RNA, 436 nt
Filed under: uncultured bacterium
Lineage: Bacteria
Description: partial 16S ribosomal RNA
Rfam family: Bacterial small subunit ribosomal RNA
Source: RNAcentral
ACGGAAGGCAGCAGUGGGGAAUAUUGCACAAUGGGCGCAAGCCUGAUGUAGCAACGCCGCGUGAGGGAAGACGGUUUUCGGAUUGUAAACCUCUGUUCUUGGUGACGAAGAAGUGACGGUAGCCAAGGAGAAAGCCACGGCUAACUACGUGCCAGCAGCCGCGGUAAUACGUAGGUGGCAAGCGUUAUCCGGAAUUACUGGGUGUAAAGGGAGCGCAGGCGGGACAGCAAGUCAGCGGUGAAAUGUAUGGGCUCAACCCAUGAACUGCCGUUGAAACUGUUGUUCUUGAGUGGAGUAGAGGUAGGCGGAAUUCCGAGUGUAGCGGUGAAAUGCGUAGAUAUUCGGAGGAACACCAGUGGCGAAGGCGGCCUACUGGGCUCUAACUGACGCUGAGGCUCGAAAGUGUGGGGAGCAAACAGGAUUAGAUACCCUGGUA